AGAAUCAACGCUGGCGGCGUGCCUAACACAUGCAAGUCGCACGAGAAAGGGGAGCAAUCCCUGAGUACAGUGGCGCACGGGUGAGUAACACGUGAAUUAUCUACCUCCGAGUGGGGAAUAACUGAGAGAAAUCUUAGCUAAUACCGCAUAAUACCCACGGGUCAAAGCAGCAAUGCGCUUGGAGAGGAGUUCGCGGCCGAUUAGCUAGUUGGCGGGGUAAUGGCCCACCAAGGCGAUGAUCGGUA
This 245-nucleotide ribosomal RNA is filed under the name uncultured bacterium. RNAcentral describes it as "partial small subunit ribosomal RNA". It matches the Rfam family "Bacterial small subunit ribosomal RNA", at positions 26 to 285 of the family's 1533-position model. The record is from RNAcentral.